UACGUAGGGUGCGAGCGUUGUCCGGAAUUAUUGGGCGUAAAGAGCUUGUAGGCGGUUUGUCGCGUCUGCUGUGAAAAUCCGGGGCUCAACCCCGGACUUGCAGUGGGUACGGGCAGACUGGAGUGUGGUAGGGGAGACUGGAAUUCCUGGUGUAGCGGUGGAAUGCGCAGAUAUCAAGAGGAACACCGAUGGCGAAGGCAGGUCUCUGGGCCACUACUGACGCUGAGAAGCGAAAGCAUGGGGAGCGAACGGG
RNAcentral lists this ribosomal RNA (253 nucleotides) under uncultured bacterium. RNAcentral describes it as "partial 16S ribosomal RNA". It matches the Rfam family "Bacterial small subunit ribosomal RNA", at positions 524 to 776 of the family's 1533-position model. The record is from RNAcentral.